GUCUCUGGCCACGCCGCCCUGAACGCGCCUGAUCUCCGAAGGUAAGCAUCGUCAGGCCUGGUUAGUACUUGGAUGGGACAUCGCCUGGGAAUACCGGGUGCCGUAGGCU
RNAcentral lists this ribosomal RNA (109 nucleotides) under Microcebus murinus (gray mouse lemur). The record is from RNAcentral. Lineage: Eukaryota; Metazoa; Chordata; Mammalia; Primates; Cheirogaleidae.